AUUCGGCCAUCCCAAAUGAUAAACCAAGAAUGUUACGAACAGCGACACACAAGACAACAACUCGAGUCUAGGUAAACCUCGUCUUCCUCCUUUGAUCUAAACAUUGUCUGAUGGAAUCUGAAACAUCUGAAUCCUAAGCUUAUCCUGGUCAAAUUUCUUCUCUCUUCUGGCAUGAUCUCAUCAAAGUCGUAGUCUUUCGAUGUUUUUUCCUUUCGAGGUAGACUAAAUCUGUUCUUUCUGGCUUUAAAGGGUUAACUGCAACUGCAGCAGAGACUAAAGGGUUUAUGAGAGCUCUAAGCUUCAGCAUCAAGUGAAUCUACCGGACCAGUACAUAAGAGGCCAUUUCAGAAGCUUGAAGUUUCUGGAUGUACAAACCACGAUCACCUCUGAGAAUUCUAUUCUACGACUCUAUCGUGGUUAAUUAGGGUUCAACCCAUUAACCACAC
RNAcentral lists this long non-coding RNA (446 nucleotides) under Linum usitatissimum (flax). Its description in RNAcentral is "long non-coding RNA (LUSI_LNC002999)". Lineage: Eukaryota; Viridiplantae; Streptophyta; Magnoliopsida; Malpighiales; Linaceae. The record is from RNAcentral.